CCCGGUGAGAACCCGGGGCGGUCGCGCCACUGUGAGCGGUUUCGAGAGGAGCCGCGAGCCAGA
This 63-nucleotide non-coding RNA is filed under the name Gordonia sputi. Lineage: Bacteria; Bacillati; Actinomycetota; Actinomycetes; Mycobacteriales; Gordoniaceae. The record is from RNAcentral.